GUCACUGUAGAACUGCUUGUUCCAAUUCCACAUGCUGCCUAUUUCCCCUUUUUAAUUAGGUUUUCAUUUCGGAACAAAAAAUGCUUAACUGAGACGUGUUUGGUUUCUUACUUCUCUAUUAAGUGUUUGUUUUUGUUGUGUUUGUGAUUUUCAGACAAUGAGAUGGAAUAAGCGAUGAAGAGGCAAUGUAAAAUUAAUUUGUAUGGAACUGCUUUUCCACUGAAGGAGGAGCUUGACAAGCAAAUAUUGUCUAGGUACCUGCUUUUGGAUUCGAUUAAUCUAUUGCAUAUUUUGGUAUAGUUUCUUAGAGUGUUUCGAAAUUUAAAGCGUUUCAGUAGUGAUAAUUUGACAUGAGUCCCUGUUUGUGUCGAUGGUUGCUGGUUAAUCCAUUCCUUGAUUUUCAGGCACAAAUCAUAUGCAUCUCUAUAUACGGGGCAUGGUGUAAGACCCGAGUUUUUAUUUGGUGUAUUUUGUUGAGAUGCAUGCUAUAUUUUUGUAAGAGUCGACUAUGGAUAGUUUGCUAAAUGAUAUAGACUCCAUAUACUUCUUGUUGGUCUAUGGUUUGUGACCGAUGAGCUUGAUUGCAAAUAUAUGUUAAGACUACAUGUUUCCUCUAAUUGCUAUAUGUAGUUGAUGGUGUGAGACUAAAUUUUUCCUUGGGAGGGCUGGAUGUGUAUAAAACACAAACAUUUUCUUUAAGUAAAGGAGAGAGAAAACAACAAGGAAGAAAGGAGUGAACGUGAGAGUUUUGGUGUGCAUUUGAGAGGCUGAGAAUCCAAGAGAAACAUGAGGCUUAAACCAACAAAGAAGGGACUGGGAAACUUAAGAGAAUCAGAGAACUUUGGCAGGAGAAAUUGGUAAGGGGAGCUGGCAGAAUCUUGUAUCCUGUGAUUUUUGGCAUGAUGAUUAUGAAUGAGUAUACAUAUUUGUGGUUGGAUGCGUUUCUGAUAUUGUUAUUACUAUCAUUAUGGACUUCUUUGAUGCAUUUUUUUUGCUAUACGUAUGAGUUGUAGAUGAUUUACAUGGUAAGCAUGUGUUGAUAUGUGUUUAAUAUGUGGAUGAUGGUUUGCAUGUAAAAGUUUAUUGUUGUAGUAAGACUUUAAUAAAAAUGGAAAUAGUACUCUAAGACAGCCAGAUGAGUUUGGCAAAGUAAAACUUUGGUAGAGGUCGCUGAAUUUGGUUGAAAGAUGAACUAAGUUGGAAGUAGUUUGUAGUGGUGCAAAUUCUGGAAAAUGUUUACAGAUGUUGGAGAGUUUUUCGGAAUGGUGCAAUAUAUCUUAUGAUGUAGUAACCUUUAGAUGGUUGUUCCAUUGCUUAAAAUUCCUAGAGAACUUUAUCUCAAAGGUUAGCAGAAAAAUUAAAAUGGAGAGGCAGAGUUAAUUGGCUGAACUUUUUAUGAGAAUUCAGCUUUCCGUUUGCUUGACUAGGUUCACUAUUUUGACUUAGUUAGAGUCCAGCUUGUUUUAAAUAAUUUGGGACAGUAGCUAGCACUAAAAUAGGAAGUGAUGAAGUUGGUUUUUCCUUACUGGAAUAAAGUUUACGUUGGGAGAAAUUCCUUGGUUGGAUGCAACGUUCCAGACUUUAUAGUUCGUGUAAAAGACGCAUGUUUUCCCUUGAUGUAGUGCUACUUUGAAGGUUAAUGUGAACUGCAAUUGGCUAGACCAGUGAGCUGGAAUUACUGCAGCGUUUUCCUCCUGGAUGGGACUUGAAUGAUGCUGGAACGUGACCAGAGCUGGUGUAGUUGCUACAUGAAUCAAAUGAAGCUAGUUUGGUUUGGUUUUGUUCAAUUGGUGCAAUGUUUCCUUUGCUGGACAGAAGUUUCUAGUGUUGCCACUCUUUCUUACGUCUAAAUAGAAAUAGGGUCAGUUUGGAUAAAAAAACAUAUAUAUGGCAGCAAGGAGGUCAAGUAAGCCGUUGUUUGGUGCCUUGUUUUUGGUGGAAUCAUUCUUUAUUUAGAUGAUGAAAUUAGAGAAAAUGUAAAUUAUGUUUUAGUGGGGUCAAGUGUUAGACUUUUGAAAGGUUUUCUUUAAAACAAAGCUUGCUAGACUUGAUUCAUGAGCCCAAACAGAAGCAACUUUUGGAGACCAUGCAGUGCAGCCUUUUUUGUUUGCUGCAGGAUAACCGUGAGCUGAAGGAGGGUUGGACCAUUUUUCUCACGUCAAGUUGACCAAGAGGAAGAUGUUAGAGCUACUAACAUUGAGAUACAGAGAUCAGAACAGCUACUGGAAUUUUUAGUUGGCACAAAACAACUCUCCCUUUUCUUUGAUCAAAACUAGUUUAACUACUAGACUCUUGUAGAGUUGGGGAGGUGCUUUCUAUCCAGAAUUUUCAUUGAGGCUUAAAACUAGAUUCUAAGAACUCUAGUUCUUUAGAAGAGUUAAAACAUGAUGAAGUUCAAGCUUUCUUGAACUGGACCGUUAGUUGGAAGGCACAAGGGUCUCUAGAAGGAACUGAACUUCGAGUAGGUGUUGUCUUUAGCUUAAGUGCUGCAGUAUUUUUGUUUCUUGAUUAUUUGAGAGCUGGAACAUGACUUUUAGGUGGUCUAUGGUGCAAAGAACCAAGUACCUUGAUCACAUGAGUUGAGCUAGUGGUGGAAUUUUCCUUUGUUGGCUGGUGCAGCUAUACUAGGAGGAAGUUCAUGCUGGUUUUCCAUGGUUGGUUCACGUUCUUGUCUUUCCUUUCUCUGGUUUUGUGGUGCAGCAUCAGAUUUGAGUUAUUUAAGCUAUGGUAAGACCUGUUUGGAGAAGAUUUUGAUCAUUAGAAAUAUGUGUCAUGGUAUAAGCAAAUUCACGUUAGUUUGGGUAGAUAGUGCAAUAGAAUUUUUUUGCAAUGUUUAAGUCAUAGAUAGAAUUGGCUAUAUUAUUCUAUUUGUUCACGUGAAAGUGGCAGAUUGUUGAUGCACUUUUUAUAUUUUCUUCCUAUAAAAUAAUAUGGCUGAAUGGUAAAUUCCUAUAGUCACUUUUUAUAUUUCAAUGGCCAUGACUAUACUUGUUUUAUGGUUCAUUAGAACAAAAUCUUAUACUUGUAGUCAUGGAGAUAAUUGUAAUCUUAUAUUUAAAUAUUCGAUACCGUUGACAUCUGCAAUGGUGGGAAAAAUGUUUUACAUGAUUUUAUAUAGCACCGAAAUGAAAUAGAUAUAUAGCUUAGUUUAUGAACGAAACACAACUUUUUUAAAAUAGAAAAACAUAUUUGACUCGUUUAAGAUUUGACGAGCAUUAUAAUUGAAAUGCUAUAGUUGAAGAUAAAUGCAUGGCAUGUAUGAACUAGGCUUAAUAUUUUUGAGCGACGUUAUUUCUAAUGAUUUGAGGCCUUUGAUUAUGAGUUUGGUAUCCAUGAUAAUAAGAAAUGCAAUCUUAACUGUUGCUGUUUUUUAUUAAUUGAGAUACGACGUGUUAUUGUUUUACUUCUGUCUCUCAAUAUCAUUGAUGUUAUUUGCAUAUCCCCAUGACUUGGAAACUUUUAGGCCUUCCGACAUGCAUCAUGGGAUGGAAGUUCGCCUUGGUCUAUCUUAGGGACCAAUGUACCCAAGUAUUAUAUAAUUAAAUUUUGAGUUUUACACUGGUACCCAAAAGUUGGCUUUUAUGGUAAAAUCAUCUUGUUAUUCUUUAAGAUGGAAGUGUCCAAGGAACCUACAUAUGCAAUCGUGGACUUAUGUUUUCCUUUGGGUUGGAUGCUAGAAAUGUUAUGGACUAUAUUAAACACAACAUGCCUUUUAGAGUAAAUGCAGAAUUUAUGCAUGAGGCGUUUGAGUUGAGUAUCCUUCUUUAAUUCUAAGUGUUAGUAACUUCUAGAAACUUGACUACAAUUUAGUAUUAUAUAUGUAGGUUAACGUAAUAUUUGGAUUGAAUAUAUAGUUUUAGGUUUAAUUGCUUCUUUUGUUCCGAGUUUGGUUGAAGUGUGUCAAAUUCGUCCCCCUUUUAGAAAAAUGUCAAUUUCGUCCUCAUAUAGAAAAAAUUUGUGUCAAUCAAGUCAUCUUCGUUAAAAAUCAUUGCUUUCAAAACUCACUUUAUCCACUACAAAAUCAGGGAUCAGACCCAUGAAGUGGUUAUUAUUCAAAACUCACUUUAAGUUUUUAACACCAUUAGUUUGUUUUUAACGGAGAUGACUUGAUUGACACAAAUUUUUUCUAUAUGAGGACGAAAUUGACAUUUUUCUAAAAAGGGGACGGAUUUGACACACUUCAACCAAACUGGGGACAAAAUAAGCAAUUAAACCUAUAGUUUUAUGUACAAAUAAUUUCUUAAAUAUUAUUGGACAAUUUAAUGUAUGAAAUGAUUUCCAUUUUAUUUGUUCAAUUGAAUUUGUUGAUUUCCAGGUUAAUUGAUUGGAUGAGAUCAUAAAACAGGAAAUAUCAUUUUAUAGAAAAAGACAACUUUUCUAUGACAUACAUGACAUUGCCUACCAUAGUAUGUAAAAUGUAAGCACGUAUAAAUCUUAUAAAAAAAAAACAAGUUAUAUGGCGUACAUGACAAUGAAUGUCAUAAUAGGUUAAUUGUGAAUAACACGUAUUAUGAACGAAUACCUUACCUAUCAUAAUACAUAGGAGAUAUUAUGAUAGGUGAAAAUAACUGUCAUAGAACUUGAGAUAUUAUGACAGGUAAACCGAAUUAUGUCAUGGUAAAUUAGAUAUAUUAUGAAUGAUAACUAAAAGUAUGUCUUAAUAAACGAGAUAUAUUAUGACAGGUGAUGGGAAGUACAUUAUAAUAUGUUUAACCUAUUAUGACGUACUUUUUCACUAUGCCAUAGAAUGAGUAAACCUUUUAUGAUUGUCAAAACUAUGAUAACAGAACACCUGUCAUAAUAUGUUUAUUUUACUUGUCAUAAUAUGUCUUUUUUGCAUUAGUUAUUUACUUAUUAUGACAUCCUUUUUUUGUCGGUUGCUCUUUAUUCUUUUUGUUUAUCAGAAUCACACUUUUCUACCUCACCUACAUGCAUUGUCAAAUUAUCUAGGAGGAUCUUGAUUCAACUCAUGUUGAAUAUAUCCUUCUCCCUAGUCAGUAGUCACUACUUAAAUAGUGUGUAAAUUGCAAUGUGUAAAUUUCCCCUUAUUGAACAAUGUGAACCUUGUUAACUCUAAACUACAAAGUAAAUUAAUUUGAACCUGUAAACGUUUGAAAUGUAUUAGAAGUUGCCUCUGUUAGCUCUAAUCCCAUAGGUGAUGGAUAAGAGCCUUCGAAAGUUAAUUGGACUGAAAAAAUUACCAAUUGUAUAAAAGUUCCCUAAAGCUUAUUAUUUCCUUUUAUCUUUAAAGGUGCAAUAGCUAAUUUAUAUGGUCAUUUUGUGUCUCUCUUCCUUCAAAAUUUUGCUUUUUAGUUAAUUUUUUUCUUAUCCUUCAUCUUGAUACCCUUUAUUUGCCUUUCACUCCUAUCUUUCUUAUAAUGUAUACAAUAAAGGAGUAUAAAAAUAUAUUUUGAUUAGUAAGAUAAAAUAGAAUAUGAUAAUAUGAAGGGUUUUUUAGGAGAUUCACUCGAUAAAUGCAAUACCAAUGAAACACAAAUUCAAUCUGCAUAAGGAAUUGAUACCACCUUAACCUAAAAUGUUAACACAAUGGGUUUUCCUUCCUUAGAAGUUUAUGGAAAUCUCUUUAGCUAGGUUGGGGGAAAUUAGAAGGAAAGCCAUGGUGAUGGUUGAAGGUUGGGGUGGUUGCGGAAAUAUGGUGGAAAAGAGACUAAGGCUCUUGGUCAUGUGAUGUUUAUGGAAGAUAGAGGUGGUGUUUAGUGAUGGUCUAAGAGAGGUUGGGCAAACUCUUGGAGGAAGGAGGCUAGAGGAGGUCACUUGGGUUGCUCUAGCCUAGGGUGACCUUAAUAGAGUAGUAUGACACAAAAAUGACAGCAUAACUUUACUCUUAAUCAAAGGUGAUUACAAGAGAGGAGACACUUCUAUAUAUAGGCAAGGGUGUCAUCUAAAAAUCCUAAAAGCAUGACCCCUCACUUUUGUACUCAUUGGCCAAAAAUGAGGCCUUCUAAGGAGUGGACAAGUGUCCACAAAUCCCCUCCAAUAAGGGGAGGACAUGUGGGCACUUAUAAAGCACAAUCCUCCCUAUUCCUAGAGUUCCAUGUGAUCACUACUAAAGUUAAAUCCUCUCCAAUGGAAACAUUACACAUGGCGCAUACUUUCCACAUGGUUUGAAUGUCUAGCUUAAGGAAAAUUUUUAUACUGAUUAGGCCUUAAAUACAAGCCUUAAACAAACCUACACUACUUGGCCAAAAUACAUGACCUAAAUAAAACUUAUACUACUCCAAGCUAUGCUCCAUGAUGGCCCCAAAGGUGGUCCAAAAGGUAGAGUUUAGACCAUCUUCAAGGAUGACUUCCACUCUUCUUGAAAGUGCUUGACCAUGGCUAAGAGAUUUGUCAUCACAAGUUGUCCAACUUUCUUAUCAUUAAUUAAUGUAAGAUUUAAACUUACUUGAACUUUCAACAAUCCUCCCUUAAAUAGUGAGUUCUUUUCACAUAGGUACACUCCACCUUGAUUGGAAGUCUUCCACAUUCCCAACUAGAGUACCUGAAUGGUGAACUUUUUAUAUUCCCAUUUUAUUAUAGCAAUAGGACACUUUUGUUUCAAAGGCUUAUCACGGAGGGACUUUCAAUUCAAGAAAUUCACAAAUUCAAGAUUUUUCAUUGAGUCAACCCAUGAGACUCGAAAUAAUGUGUUUGAGUUUACUUCUUUAUAAGUUAUUCAACUUUUUCAUUUUUACCCAAUAUGAGAGUUAGAUUCACAUCUAGAUUUUCAACAUAAAUUAAAUAUAGUAUUUUAAAAGUGGACAAGAUAGAAUGGUGUUAAGAAUAAUCCAAGUGAGUCUCAUAUUAGAUAGAAAUGACUAAGUUAAACAUCAUAUAAGAAGAAUACUUAUAAGUUCAUUGACUCAAAAUUUUGGGUUAAAAAUGAUGUCAAUAACUUAUGUGGAUUGGUAUUCAAAUGACAUAUAUCUAAUCUCCUCCAAAUGACCCUUAAAUAAGAAAAAAACAAACCUCAAAUAGUUACAAUUUAUUUGUACCACAUACUUCAUAAUGGUAGAUGCAAAUAUCUUCACUGUGGUUUCCACCGUAGUGUUCUGUAACUUUGUCCUCCAUGCCGUUCAUAUACAAAGUCCAGCUGAGGGAAGGUGUGAUAAAGUAUGUCUUCAACACAUUUCCAGUACCAUUUCCUCCAUGGCUUAUGGAAUAAGAGAGGAAAAACAAUAAUUCCAACCCCAGAAGUGAAUCCUACCUCAAAUGAUAUAAAAUUCCAAUGAAAGGAAAUUUUCACGCCAGCAUUGGAAUUUGAUACUUGAGAUGGUGUCACUUGCAUUCCAUCACCAACACUACAAUUUUCAGACAAUGGAGGUCCACACAGCCCAUCAUUGUCACUGAAUGAGUCUGCUGGAAAUGACUGAAUUUGGGUACCUGUUGGGAUUCUCCCCAUGAGAUGAUUGCAUGAUAGGUUCAAGAAUGAGAGAAAAGAUAAAUGUGCUAAUUGUGUUGGGAUUGACCCGCUCAAGUUGUUGUUUGACAGGUCUAAGGAUUCAAGAUCUUUCAUGUUUCCAAAAGAUGAAGGAAUUGAGCCAGAAAAGGUGUUGUGUGAUAGAUUAAGUAUGUGGACAGCGUUUAGUUGUCCAAGUCCUCCUGGGAUUAGUCCCUCAAAUUUGUUGCAUGACAAGUCAAUGACGGUGAAGAUGAUUAGGAUCUUUGCUAAAUACAUUCGUUGCCCUUUGCUUGUAACUGUAACUCUGUCAUUAUAAAAAACACUAUAAAUUUCUAGUACUUCAGAUUGAAGAUGACCUAGCUUUCUCUGAUCACUCUCAUCAGCUAUCAUUGCUUUCCAACUUCCAAAGAAUGCCAAUGGAAUUCUACCACCUAAGUUGUUUGAUGCAAGGUCAAAAAUUUGAAGCUGUGGCCAUGCUACCUCGGUUCUUUCACAUUUGAGGGAGCCAUUUAUUUUGUUGGAUCUCAAAAUAAGAACACGUAGGGUGGUCAUGUUCUCGAACCAACAAGGGAACUCAUCAUGUAUCUGGUUGUCUCCAAUGUCUAAAAUCUCCAUCAUGGCGCAAUUAGCCAGAUAUUUUGGAAGCUUUCCAUGCAGAGAAUUACCAUUUAGGUGUAGUGUUCUUAGCGAACACAAGCCAGGACAUGUGUCAAUAGUGCCACUGAGUUUGUUCCUCCCUAAAUCAAGUAUGCUAAUAGUUCCAUUCAUAGCAAUCAAGCAUUUUGGAAUUGUGCCAGUCAGAGAAUUAUUGGAGAGGUCAAGCACACGAAGAUUAGGAGCAUCGCAUAUUGAUUCUGGGAUGCUCCCUUGGAUAUUAUUGUUUGCAAUAGAGAGAAACCUAGCUUUUCUGAGGUAUUUGUCAAUUUUAGGUGGCAAAAAAGAGCUGAAAUUGUUGAAAAAUCUACAUAGUCAAACGAUUGGGGUAGUGUUGGAAGAGGUCCGUGGAGAAGAUUGGAAUGAAAAUCAAGGAUGGACAAAAGAGACAAAUUGUUGAACAUAGGUUCCUCCCAGUCAGUCAGGUAGUUAUACGAAAGAUCAAUAUUUUCUAGAGCAUUGUUGUUCCAAAGCCAGUGUGGUAUAGUGCCAGCAAUAUGGUUAUUUGACAGGUCAAUAGAUCUUAGUGAAUGAUUUUUCAAAAAUUGUGGAAAUUUUGUCAACUUGCAAGAAGCUAAGCCUAUGACUUUCAAACUAGGAAAUAAUGGAGACCGAGUGAGUGGAGUGGAUAUAUCAUUUAUUGUUAAGGUGUUGUUUGAAAUAUCAAGUGUGGUAAGGUUUUCCAGCUUGCCAAGCAAAUUGACCUCUAUGGUGCCACUGAAAUUAUUGGAAGACAAUGAAAGAGAUUCAAGAUUCGUUAGUUCAAACAAAGAUAUGGGAAAGGACCCUUCUAAAAGAUUGCCACUCAAAUCAAGCGAUUGUAAACUAUACGAGGUGUUUGUGAAAUCGAGUUGACCUUCAAAUUUAUUGUUGGAAAGAUGAAGAUAAUGCAAUGAUGGUAGUGUGAAGAUAGAUGAUGGAAUGGUUCCAGUGAAGAAAUUACUGUCUAAGUUUAGGUACUCUAAAUUUACGAGAUCUUGAAAGUUAACAAGCGAUAUUGUACCUGUGAAAGUGUUAUCAGUGAGGUAUAUGCUUUGGAGUUGUUUGCACAAAUGUAAAGCUGGAACUGAGCCAGAAAGGCGAUUCCCUGACAGAUCUAGAUCAACAAGUUGGGUGAGAUUUUGUAAUGAAUUGGGCAGUGUUCCACUAAAUUGGGAUGAAGAAAGAUCCAGAUUAGACAAGUUUCUUAAAUUUCCAAUUGAAUUUGGAAGUGGACCAGAGAAAUUUGUGUCACUUACGAACAUGGUGUGGAGAGAUCCAUUUGGCAGGAAGUGAUGAAAGAAACCAGAAAGAUCAUAAUUAUCUGAUAUAUCAAUAUAGGACAAUGUUGGUAUUUGAAAGAUCUUUUCUGGAAAAAUUCCAAUCAACUCGCAAUCAGUAAGCUUCAAGGAGGUAAGACUUUUGAAAUGGGCAAAUGUUUCUGGAACAGGACAUGCCAAGUUGUUAUAACUAAGAUCAAGGACUGAUAGAUUCUCAAGUCUUGCAAGGGAAGGAAGAAGUGGCCCUGAGAGAUAACAGCUAAGCAUGCUCAAUUCUUCAAGAGUUGGAAUUUGCAACAAAGCAGUCUGCCAUUCUUGUGCUCCACCUGAUACACUCACACCAUCUAGAUAAAGUUGUCUAAGUUUUGUGAGGUUUCUGACAAGUUCAAGGAGACUUGGGUUCUCAAGUUUCACUUCUUGUGCCUGUGAUGAAAGAUCAAGAGUGACCAAUUUUGUGAGUUGAGAAAUCUGUAUUGGAACUUGCCCCACAAAGCCAGCAUAUGCCAAGCUCAGAGUAGUUAAAUUCUCUAACUUGUUGAAUGCAGAUGGAAUCUCCGAGUUGAAGUUGUUGUAAGACAAAUUCAAAUUCUGGAGGUGGCGUAGACUGAAAAGGCUGCUUGAAUUGUCAAACCCACCAGCGAUUGAUUCUUCACUCAGGUCAAGACCAGUAACACGCCCCUCCUCGUCACAUGUUACACCUCUCCACUCACAACAAGCACUUCUUUGAUUCCAUGAGCUUAGUUUGUUGGAACUCUCAGGUUCAAAUGUAAGAUUGUUCUUCAAUUGCAAGAGCUGUGAUCUUUCAUCCUUAUUGCAUUGGUCAGAGACGAUGUGAACAACGAGACACGUCCAACAGUAGACAGUGAAGUAAAACCAUGAAACUAGUGAAAUUUUCAUUUGUUUCUAUGGUUGAAGAGGUUAGAAAAGCUGGUAGGGUGGGAAUGAAUGGUUAGUAGAUUCUAAAUGAGAACAAUCCCCUCAGCCAUAGAGAUUUCAAGUGAAUUAGAUGCUACCUCAGCUACAGAAUGUGUAAUUAUUAUAUAUGUUAACUAUCUUUUUAGCCGUGCAAUACACUGAACUUUUUAUAGUCAAUACCCGUCAAUACCCGGAACACUUUUGUAGUCAAUAUCCGUGUCAUACCCGAAACCUUUUAUAGUCAAUAUUCGUGUCAUACCCGAAACCUUUUAUAGUCAAUAUCCGAAUCAUACGGAAAUGUGUUGUUUCUUUAAUUCUACAAUUUUUUUAGUGGAAAGAUGUAAAAUUGUAGAAAUUUUAAUAAUUUAAAAAAUAUAUAAAUUUAAUUAAAUUUUUUAAGUUGAAAGAUAAAAUUCACUAGAAUAAAAUACUAUUAGAGAUAGAUAUUAAUUUAUAGUUUGAAAUAUUUUUAUAUUAUAUUUUCUUUAAAUAUAUCAGGUUUACAAAUAUAUAGGAGGAUAAGGUUUAAGGUCAGAAUUUUAAUAAAACCAAUGACAAGUCAGAGAGAGAAGAAAGAAAGUUUUAGAAGUUAAGUUUUAAGGGGAAGAAGGAAAAAGUGAAAAGUAAGAAGUAAGGGGAGUUUACAUUUUUUUUUUCUUUAUUUAUCCUUUUGCAUGUUUGUGUUUUGAUUCGGCAGAAGGUAGUGAAGGAUAGCGUACAGUUGUAACUUGUACCGCAGGUGUAUUUUGCUAAUUGUGGAGGAGUCGUCGCAGGUGAGGAAGAAAAAAAAACUCAUGCCAUCGGAUGAAGGUGUUCAAAACACGGUUUCUAUAUGAAAACAAUUAGUGAAUACAAAAGAAAACCAUACCCAGGGCAUCUAAACAACAUGAACUUGUGUUAAAUAAAAGAAAACUUACCUUUAGUGUUGGUCUCACAAGUCGCUACAAGUGUUGGGAGGCUUGAGAAGAGAAAGUGUGAAGAAAUAGUGAAAGGGAAAUACUCUCGCACUAUUUUCUUUAAUUCUUUAAACAACAGAUGACAUCAGAUUGUAUAAGGCUUGACAUCAUAUACAUUUUAGACAUUGAAUUCUGUGAGAGAUCUUAUGUUUCAUGAGUACGUGAAAAUGACUUUCACAUUGCAUUUUUUAAUGUUUUAAACCCAUUAGGUGUCACCCCUAACAAAAUCUAUUUUUAAAGAUCAUAUGACGUUAGUAUCCCUCCAAAUAGAUGUCUAAAGGUGAUAUGACGUUGAUCCCCUUUAGUGUCGGACGCCAAACUUUUAUUUUAUUUAUAAAAAAAGCCACCAAUAAUUUUUAACGUUAAUUUUUCUCUUGGUUGAUGUUGAAUGAGAGAUGUUAUACGUCCAUUUUGCAAUACUAUUUAUAUACAAAGUUUGAGUACUUUUUUUUUUUUUAAAAUAAACUUUGUAUAAUAUGAAUGUUACUUCAUCAAUUUUAUUUAUAUAUCAUUAGACGAUAUAUGAUGGCAACCUCCUUGGCUAGGUUGAGUCAAAGCUAGGAGAUGUGCAUGUAUGGGUGUUUCCUUGGAUGAAUGGUGUGGAAAUGUGAUGGUAAAUUGUCCAAGGAUGAUGAGAUAAGGUAUGGAUGGGGUAGAAGCUCAAAUCCUCUGGGAUAUAUGGUGGUGGUGGUGUAGUGUUUGGUGGCUUCAAGAGAGGUUGCUAUCAAUAUAGCAUGAUUGCAUUUAGCAAGACUCUCAUUAGUACAUUGACACGUUCAAUACUACACCGACUUAUGUACUAGCACGUUUACUAUGGCUUUUUCAUAAACGGGUUAUUCAUAACUCAUUUUCAUUUAACGAUGUGAUUUUCAUAAAGAUAACACUUUGUCAAGUAUCUUUUUGCUUAACGUUGCUCAUUAGUCCUCAAGACAUGUGAAGUUGCUAAACGAUCUUGACCUUUCUCUUAGCAAACUUUCUCUCUUCUUAUAGUACUAAUUAGUUGUGUUAUAGCUAAUGUUUUGUAUUAUAUCUCUUCUCAACAGUGAAGUUUCGUCCUUUAAACAAUAUAUGUUGUGAGUCUUACUUGAUCGACUCUUAUGCUCAGUGUUUUGCUAGUUUUACUUGGAUAUUCUUGUACCUGUUGUUUUGUGAUUGUAUGUUUUUAGACAUAUUAUGUGUAGACUUUUUCUAUGCUCCUAUAUUAUUUCAGCUUAUCUCUUUUGUCAUUUAACACCUAAUUUAGCUUUAGAAGUAACCUUGAUUAGGCUUAUUGCAUAAAUGCUUCUAAUCUAGAUGUUUUUCUUUGUGACAUAUUUUUUGUGCUAGGUGGGUAACUAGAUGGUUUUAGUAUUUAGAGGUUUUAUCUUUUAUAAUCAUAAGAGACUGUAAUUUAUUCUCUAUGUCUAUGCUCUUUUAUAUUUUUAGAAAUUUGAUUACCCAA
Molecule: long non-coding RNA, 12627 nt
Filed under: Vigna radiata
Lineage: Eukaryota; Viridiplantae; Streptophyta; Magnoliopsida; Fabales; Fabaceae
Description: long non-coding RNA (VRAD_LNC009023)
Source: RNAcentral